AGAGCGGUAGCGGAGCGUUCUGUAAGCCGUUGAAGGGAGACCCGCGAGGGCUCCUGGAGGUAUCAGAAGUGAGAAUGCUGACAUGAGUAGCGACAAAGAGUGUGAGAGACACUCUCGCCGAAAGUCCAAGGGUUCCUGCGCAAUGCUAAUCAGCGCAGGGUUAGCCGGCCCCUAAGGCGAGGCCGAAAGGCGUAGUCGAUGGGAACCAGGUGAAUAUUCCUGGGCCAGCGGGUAGUGACGGAUUGCGGAAGUUGUUCACCCUUAUUGGAUUGGGUGGGCAGCCAAGCCGUCCCUGGAAAUAGCUCCCGCAUUAGACCGUACCCUAAACCGACACAGGUGGACAGGUAGAGUAUACCAAGGCGCUUGAGAGAACUAUGCUGAAGGAACUCGGCAAAUUACUCCCGUAAGUUCGCGAGAAGGGAGCCUGGCUUUGCGCAAGCAAUGUCCAGGGGCACAGACCAGGGGGUGGCGACUGUUUACUAAAAACACAGGGCUCUGCGAAGUCGCAAGACGACGUAUAGGGUCUGACGCCUGCCCGGUGCCGGAAGGUUAAAAGGAGGAGUGCAAGCUCCGAAUUGAAGCCCCGGUAAACGGCGGCCGUAACAAUAACGGUCCUAAGGUAGCGAAAUUCCUUGUCGGGUAAGUUCCGACCUGCACGAAUGGCAUAAUGAUGG
This 674-nucleotide ribosomal RNA is filed under the name Cyclophora tenuis. RNAcentral's name for it is "partial Bacterial large subunit ribosomal RNA". It matches the Rfam family "Bacterial large subunit ribosomal RNA", at positions 1222 to 2010 of the family's 2925-position model. The record is from RNAcentral. Lineage: Eukaryota; Bacillariophyta; Fragilariophyceae; Cyclophorales; Cyclophoraceae.